AGUGAACGCUGGCGGUAGGCCUAACACAUGCAAGUCGAACGGCAGCACAGUAAGAGCUUGCUCUUACGGGUGGCGAGUGGCGGACGGGUGAGGAAUACAUCGGAAUCUACUUUUUCGUGGGGGAUAACGUAGGGAAACUUACGCUAAUAUCGCAUACGACCUACGGGUGAAAGCAGGGGAUCUUCGGACCUUGCGCGAUUGAAUGAGCCGAUGUCGGAUUAGCUAGUUGGCGGGGUAAAGGCCCACCAAGGCGACGAUCCGUAGCUGGUCUGAGGGGAUGAUCAGCCACACUGGAACUGAGACACGGUCCAGACUCCUACGGGAGGCAGCAGUGGGGAAUAUUGGACAAUGGGCGCAAGCCUGAUCCAGCCAUACCGCGUGGGUGAAGAAGGCCUUCGGGUUGUAAAGCCCUUUUGUUGGGAAAGAAAAGCAGCAGGUUAAUACCCCGCUGUUCUGACGGUACCCAAAGAAUAAGCACCGGCUAACUUCGUG
This 492-nucleotide ribosomal RNA is filed under the name uncultured bacterium. Its description in RNAcentral is "partial 16S ribosomal RNA". It matches the Rfam family "Bacterial small subunit ribosomal RNA", at positions 29 to 507 of the family's 1533-position model. The record is from RNAcentral.